GUUAAUCUGCCUUAAUUUGCAGGCUUGGUGAUUGUAUUCAGAUAUUCUUCUUCUUCAAUUCAUCAAUUGCCCCAUCGAUUCACCGAUUGUCAUCACCAAUUGUCGAGAACUGCUGCUUCAUAUGUGUAAGGUUAGUGUCGAGAAGCCCUCAGAAGCAGAGGGCCACAAUUCCUUUGAGAAAGCCCUCACAAUUCCUUUGAGAAGCCCUCAGAAGCAAAGGGCCACAAUUCCUUUCAAACCACUGAGCUUCUCUCUAUUUUGCUUCAAUACCAGAAAUCUACUUUCUCUUGAUUUUCUUCUGCUGAACUUGCUACGAGGACUGAUAUAAUCUAGGUGGUUUUCAGGUAGGAGGUGGGAUCAAUUCAGAUAAUUCUUUGCAAUACAUAGAAGACGGGGCUAGCCACGUCAUUGUCACUUCUUAUGUAUUUAAUAAUGGGCAAAACCUUGAAAGGCUUAAAGAUCUUGUUCGUGUUGUUGGAAAAGAAAGGCUUGUUUUAGACCUUAGCUGUAGAAAGAGGGAAGGUAAAUAUGCAAUUGUCACAGAUAGAUGGCAAAAGUUCAGUGACGUGUAUCUUGACAAGGAAAUAUUAGACUUCCUUAUGCAGACGAGUUUCUGGUACAUGGUGUCGAUGUGGAAGGGAAAAAUUUUAGGCAGUGUUUGGUGAGACUUCUUCUGAUAAUCAACUAGCAGAAGAACAUAUGUAUAGCUGGUUUGACUUUUGAAGAUGAUCCAGUCGAUAAAAGUGAAAAGCUGGAACGAGAUGGGAAACAAUGGGUUGAUAUGUGCUCUUCAAGGUGUUAUGUACCCAGAGUGCAUGAUAAUGUCCUGCUGCAAAAGUGGCUAUAUCACUAUCUUCUCUUUGAUUUUCCAACACCAGGAAUAUUAUCAUGAAACUCAUAAAGAAGUUAAACCUCAGUUGGCUGCAACACAUUUAGUUGACGCCCAUAUAUGCAGUGACGUUGCAAAGUACUUGCAUGAACUUCUUACUCAAAGAGAUGAAUUUGACACCAUUGCUUUGUUGAUCCGGCAUCUACAUAUAAUUGUCAAAGACCAGACUUUGUACGUAUUGAAGUGGCUGAUUAUAUACAGAGUUUGGCUACCAA
This is a long non-coding RNA of Rosa chinensis, 1104 nucleotides long. RefSeq lists it as uncharacterized. The record is from RefSeq and is a predicted model, not a curated record. The transcript is spliced from 9 exons. Lineage: Eukaryota; Viridiplantae; Streptophyta; Magnoliopsida; Rosales; Rosaceae.